AUUGAACGCUGGCGGCAUGCCUAACACAUGCAAGUCGAACGGCAGCACAGUAAAGAUUUCGGUCUUUAUGGGUGGCGAGUGGCGGACGGGUGAGGAAUACGUAGGCAUUUGCCUUGAAGUGGGGGAUAGCCCGGGGAAACCCGGAUUAAUACCGCAUGAUCUCGCGAGAGCAAAGCCGGGGACCGCAAGGCCUGGCGCUUUGAGAGACGCACAAGUCGGAUUAGCUAGGUGGUGGGGUAAAGGCCUACCAAGGAGACGAUCUGUAGCAGGUCUGAGAGGACGACCAGCCACACUGGGACUGAGACACGGCCCAGACUCCUACGGGAGGCAGCAGUGGGGAAUUUUGGACAAUGGGCGCAAGCCUGAUCCAGCCAUGCCGCGUGCGGGAAGAAGGCCUUCGGGUUGUAAACCGCUUUUGUCAGGGAAGAAACGCUCUGGGAUAAUACCCUGGGGUAAUGACGGUACCUGAAGAAUAAGCACCGGCUAACUACGUGCCAGCCGCCGCAGUAA
RNAcentral lists this ribosomal RNA (510 nucleotides) under uncultured bacterium. Its description in RNAcentral is "partial 16S ribosomal RNA". It matches the Rfam family "Bacterial small subunit ribosomal RNA", at positions 29 to 523 of the family's 1533-position model. The record is from RNAcentral.